Molecule: ribosomal RNA, 348 nt
Filed under: uncultured bacterium
Lineage: Bacteria
Description: bacterial SSU rRNA
Rfam family: Bacterial small subunit ribosomal RNA
Source: RNAcentral
AGAGUUUGAUCCUGGCUCAGGACGAACGCUGGCGGCGUGCUUAACACAUGCAAGUCGAGGGGCAGCAUGUUGGUUGCUUGCAACCAACGAUGGCGACCGGCGCACGGGUGAGUAACGCGUAUCCAACCUACCCUUGUCCAUCGGAUAACCCGUCGAAAGGCGGCCUAACACGAUAUGCGGUUCACAGCAGGCAUCUAACGUGAACGAAAUGUGAAGGAGAAGGAUGGGGAUGCGUCUGAUUAGCUUGUUGGCGGGGUAACGGCCACCAAGGCUACGAUCAGUAGGGGUUCUGAGAGGAAGGUCCCCCACAUUGGAACUGAGACACGGUCCAAACUCCUACGGGAGGCA